CUACCUGUAUGCACUAUACUUUUGUUAUCUAUUCUCUGGAUUUAAUAUUAUUGAUUGAAAAAUCUUUUUUCUAUUGGGGACAUCAGCUAUUCAUGUGUGCUAUAACAAGGCCUUUUGAAAGUGCUAACGGAUGUAGAGUCUCUAGCAUUCUCUGUCGUGCUUCUAGGCCAAUAAUUUCAGUGAGUGAAUGCUUUCUUUUCUUAUUUUCAGUAAAUGUCAGAAAUUAUCUAUUUAUAUUUUUUGUAAUGAAAAAUUAUCCAGUUCUUCUCUACUCCAAGUAUGCAAAAAGACAUUAAGUUCAUUCGCUUUAGCAUGGACAACUCCUAGAUGUGCAUUUUUCUACAGCUAUUGCUUUGGUGUUUAUGCUUACAUGUUCUGGUGGUUUUCUAUUUCGUGUAUCUUAUGCCUCCCGAGGAAAUUUAUGAUUUGCUAAUAGAAUUUUUUUUUUUUUUAAGGUUUUCUAAUAAAAUCUUCAUACUGCUGCACGAUAUUGAACCGAUAUUCCAGCGUAGGUGUUCAUUAUCUCUCUCACAUUGCACCUUGAAUUUGUGCUGAUGCAUUCUCUCUGUAUUGUUCAUAAUCCAACAAAUUACUUCUUUCUUUUUCUUUUUUUUUUCUGUGCCCACCACCUUACGAUUUCAGCUUGAAAGAUUUGGUUUCUUUGUAUAAUCUAUAUUGCAUUUUUCCUAGCUGCUGUUAUUUAGUAUGCAAGCAUUUAAUCAAUAUUGACAUGAUUUUUGGAUCUACUUCGACCGUGCUCUCUAAGCCAAAUUUUCAAUUUGCUUAACCUAAGAUGAAUAUUUAGCUGGCUGCUCAGGCCUGAAAGCUCCAGAGGUAUAAUUUUUAGAAUUUCAAACUAAUCUUUUGGAAAAGGUGCUUUUAUAUUCUCUCAAAAUGGACUCUGUACUAUGAUUGUUUUGACAAUUUAAUAUUGACUGCCUUGAUGGUUAAGCCUCUUGGAACUUGUGAGCAGUUGAAGUGAAGUGCAAAAUUGAGUUGAUUUUUCGUUGUCAAUCGAAAAGAAUUUGAAGUGCUUUUCCCAAAUUAAUAUGUACCUAAAUCCUGUCCUCAGUGGAAAUGAUGCACCACAUUCAGGAGAGUGGUGUCCAAAGACAGGAGGUUGCAGUUCUCCAAACUUUUUGUUUAGUAUCUAGAAUGUUAUAUUCUUCUAAUGUCUUCUCUUUGUUCCUGUUUCCACUACUGAAACCUGAGUUUUUGACAUUGUAUUAUCUUAUUCAUUAUGUCCUUUGUUACUUUAUGCAAUCAAGGUAAAUUCAAGCCCCUUUGAAGA
This is a long non-coding RNA of Lycium ferocissimum, 1291 nucleotides long. RefSeq lists it as uncharacterized. NCBI's taxonomy places the organism in Eukaryota, Viridiplantae, Streptophyta, Magnoliopsida, Solanales, Solanaceae. The transcript has 2 exons. The record is from RefSeq and is a predicted model, not a curated record.